RNAcentral lists this ribosomal RNA (253 nucleotides) under uncultured bacterium. RNAcentral's name for it is "partial 16S ribosomal RNA". It matches the Rfam family "Bacterial small subunit ribosomal RNA", at positions 524 to 776 of the family's 1533-position model. The record is from RNAcentral.
GACGAACCGAGCGAACGUUGUUCGGAAUAACUGGGCUUAAAGGGCGCGUAGGCGGGCCGCCAAGUUCGAGGUGAAAUCCUCCGGCUCAACCGGAGAACUGCCUCGAAUACUGGAGGCCUCGAGGCGGGUAGGGGCGUGCGGAACUGUGGGUGGAGCGGUGAAAUGCGUAGAUAUCGCUUGGAACGCCGACGGUGAAAACAGCUCGCUGGGGGUGUGCUGACGCUGAGACACGAAAGCCAGGGGAGCGAACGGG